CUGCCGGAGGCUACUGCUAUUGGAAUUCGACUAAGCCAUGCGAGUCAAGGUGUCUUCGGACGCCGGCAUACGGCUCAGUAACACGUAGGUAACCUACCCUCAGGACUGAGAUAACCCCGGGAAACUGGGGCUAAUAUAGAUAGAUAAAAGAUACUGGAAUGUUCUUUUAUCCAAAGCUUUUGCGCCUGAGGAUGGGCCUGCGCCCGAUUAGGUUGUUGGUGGGGUAAUGGCCCACCAAGCCUACGAUCGGUACGGGCAGUGGGAGCUGAAGCCCGGAGUUGGGGACUGAGACAAGGCCCCAGGCCCUACGGGGCGCAGCAGGCGCGAAACCUCUGCAAUGCGGGAAACCGUGACAGGGGGAUUCCAAGUGCUCAUGCAUUGCAUGGGCUGUUCUUUGGUCUAAGUAACCAGAGGAGUAAGGGCUGGGCAAGACCGGUGCCAGCCGCCGCGGUAAUACCGGCAGCUCAAGUGGUAGCCGCGAUUAUUGGGCCUAAAACGUUCGUAGCCGGAUAAGUAAGUCUUUGGUUAAAUCCUGCGACUUAACCGUGGGAAAUCUAGAGAUACUGCUUGUCUUGAGACCGGGAGAGGUUGGAGGUACUCCCAGGGUAGGGGUGAAAUCCUGUAAUCCUGGGGGGACCACCUGUGGCGAAGGCGUCCAACUGGAACGGGUCUGACGGUGAGGGACGAAACCUAGGGGAGCGAGCCGGAUUAGAUACCCGGGUAGUCCUAGGCGUAAAUGAUGCGAGUUAAGUGUGGGGGCAUCCACGAGAUGGCCCUGUGCUGUAGGGUAGCCGUUAAACUCGCUGCCUGGGGAGUACGGUCGCAAGGCUGAAACUUAAAGGAAUUGGCGGGGGAGCACCACAAGAGGUGGAGGCUGCGGUUCAAUUGGAUUCAACGCCGG
This 901-nucleotide ribosomal RNA is filed under the name uncultured archaeon. RNAcentral's name for it is "bacterial SSU rRNA". It matches the Rfam family "Archaeal small subunit ribosomal RNA", at positions 14 to 921 of the family's 1478-position model. The record is from RNAcentral.